This 6114-nucleotide long non-coding RNA is filed under the name Olea europaea (common olive). RNAcentral's name for it is "long non-coding RNA (OEUR_LNC007137)". The record is from RNAcentral. Lineage: Eukaryota; Viridiplantae; Streptophyta; Magnoliopsida; Lamiales; Oleaceae.
CCUCUUUUGAAAAUCAAGUCUAACGUCCGAUGACUUAGCAUCCACACAUUCUGUCACCUUCCAGCAGUCAUGCUUCAUUGAUUACUUCCAAACUUAAAGUCUUCUUCAAUGUAUCUGAGAAAACAAAAAAUAGCCUGCGCUAAUAAGAUCAAGCUACUUGACUAAUGUUAAGAAUGUUGAUUCUUAAUUUAAGUACUGUUUGAGGUAGACUACAAUAGAGAAGUGGCUUUAAAGUAAAGAUCAAAAGAUUUGAUUUUACUUCAUUUACAAGUAGAAAGAAAAAGACACAAUGGAGUUAUUUAUAGAUUUCUUUUAGAUUAUUUAAUUUGUAAAUUUUGCAAAAUUACAAAAUCGACAAUACUGUAUUUUUGCUCAUUUGAUUUAGUGAAUUAUUUGAUCCGUGAGAUGAGGUCAUGAAUGUUUGCUUUUGGGGUUUAUCACGUUACAUCUAGUGUUCAAGUUUCAAAUUUUUAGUUAAUUUUAAUAAGUAAUUAAAAUCGUUCGAACACAUUUAAUCUGUACAUUGCAGCAAGAAUUUUUCAAAACUGAUCAUAUGAUAUUUUAAUUGCCUAUUGUCCACUUUUUAGAUAGUCAUUUUUUAGCUAGGUUUUAAAAUUUUCACUUGAUAUCAAAGUGGGCACACUUUUAAGUGUGAUCCACGAAAAAUGUAGUAAUAGACGGAGCACCAUUUAGAUAUCUUAUCUUAGAUGGGAUGAACUACUCAUAUUACAAGAUUAUGAUACAUGUCUAUGUCCAAUCAUGAGAUGAAAAAGCUUGACAUUCUAUCAUGUAUGGAUAUAAAACACCCUUCAUUGCCUUCCGGGGCAUAACUCAGUGGUGCAAAGGGCAGGAGUAAGGUAGUCUCAACCUUGCUGGCAACCGCAGUGUGAGGGUUCGAAUCUUGAGAUAUGAAAUUGGACUCUUUGUGGGCACCAGUGUACGGGCAAGCUCUUGUUCUCUGACUUACUGGAGUUCAUCCCUCGAUUUACCUCCCCCACGAUGCUCCAGGGGCGGGGCGGUGGGGGCUCUCAAGGUUGGGGUUCAACUUUUUAUAAAAAAAACCCUCGGGACUAAAAAUGAUGAAGAGAUAUAGAUGGACGGAAAAAAGCCUAUAGAGUAGGGAACUCUUGAUUUUAGCUAUGUUAGUUGGAAUUCUAAAGCAUUAAAUGAUAUUUUCUCUUUUGCAAGUUUAACCAUUUUGAUCUUAAAGGAACUUUCAUUGUGAAGUCUCCUAAACUUUAAAUGCUCAUCCUUGAAUUUGAACAACUAAUAAUGAGAGAUGAUGAACAAUUCAAGGGCUUUUAUGCUAAAAUAACUACCAUCUAGGAGGGUAAAAAUAUUGAAAGCAUAAAGUGAAAGAGUAACUACCAUGAAGGAGAUAAUUCUUAGUUUAGUACCUGAUAUAUUUCACUACAAAGUAAUUGCCAUCAAGGAGAGUAAAAUAUUGAAAGCUUAUAUAAGGUAAAAGAGUUGGUAGGCCCCUUAAUGACUUAUUAGUUGCAUCUCUAUAGGAGAAAGAAAGAAAAAAGAUCUGGAGUUAUCUUUAAAGUCAAAGAUGUUGAAGAAGAAGAAGAAUAAGAAGAGGAUGAAGAAAGUGAGGGUGAUGAACAUAUAUGGCCAUGCUUACCAAACAAUUUAAGAAAUUCCUAAGGACCAAUAAAAAAUGAAGAAUUUCAAAAUCCCAACCGCAUAAGAAGAAAAAUUCUUCAGCAACUCAAGGCAAAAUUUAACUUUAUCUAUGGAGAAAACUCAAAAUCUUAUUAAAUGCCAUGAAUUAGGAUUUGGACAUAUGGCUGCUGAAUGUACACACAUAAGAAGUCUUGAUCUAAGAAAGUAAUGAAUAUCACUUGUCUGGGAAAAAAAACCAACCAAACCAAUCAAACUAAACUGGUUCGAGUAGGCUCGAGUCGGUUUGAUACGUAUAAUUGGUUUUGAUUUGGUUUGGUUUUUUAAACAAAACUAUGGUGGAUUAGUUUACUCACGAUUUGAAGUCUCAAACCGCUUGUUAACUGAAUCGAUUCAACCCACUUACAUGUUUACCUUUUUUGUUUUUUUAAUAGAGGUAAAAAUCAAAAGAUAAGCCUUAAUCUCAUAAUUUUAUCUCGAUUUUCUCCAAUCUAUGAUAUUGCCAUUAAGUAAUAGCACUGAAAAAGUUCUUUCACAAGCUCAUUAUAUUACACUUAGUAUUUUUUUCUCUACUUGGCAGUCUAGCUACAUAUUGUAUAAAAAAACAACAAAAUUCCUAAGUAUUCUGUUAAUCUGUCUCUAUUAAUAUGCUUUUAUUUGUUAGUCAAUAAUUUUUGUAAUAUAAAAUUAUUUAGUUAUUUUUGUUCUAGUAAUCUAAGUGAGCCCAAAAUUUGGAUUUUUUUUUAAAAUUCAAUUUGUGCUAAAAGUUCAAAUCGACUAACCAAACUGAACCGAACCUACAUUUUAAGAGUUCGAGUGAAUUAGUUUAGGUUACAAUUCAUCCGACCAACUAAUUCGAUUUUGAUUUCGAGUUGGAGUCGAAAUCAACCCAAUCAAAUUGCGUCUAAACCUAAUCACCUAGAGUGAAGAUGAGGAUAGAGAAUCAAAUUAGGAUGCGGAGGACAAAACUGACAAUAACCUGAUAACCUCAUUUACAAUCAAUCUACAAUUUGAAUCUGAUUUGUUUCCAUUAUUGCCUGAAAGUACAAACUUACUAACUACAGAAGUAGUCAGACUACGUCACUUUAUGUUCAAAAUGCACCAUCUUGAAAGGAAUUUGGAAAGUAAGCGAAAAAUGUUACUCCCUAUAAUGAUGAAAUUCAUUGAGGAAGAAAGGACUGUGGUUGCAACUAGAAAACUAACUCUAUCCAAAGCUCUAAAUGAAAAAGAUAAUCAAGUUUUGGAGGUCUUUCUUGAACUGAGUCACACCAAGAAGAAAGUUAAACAACUGACCAUUGGAUUUGCCUACCUAAGUAAAGUCCUUAGCUAUGGAAGAACCUAGAAUAUCAAAAAAGACUUAGACUAUGAAGGGAAACGAAAGGAAAAAAUAAUCUUCUCUAUUGAAGUUUGUUAAAGAAACUUGAUAUGAUAAACCAACCGGCCAGAACACUGAAGUUGCAGCUAAAGUAUUGAUAGAACCAUGUCUAAACAUCAGUAGCUAUCCAAAGCUCUAAAUGAAAAAGAUAAUCAAGUUUUGGAGGUCUUUCUUGAACUGAGUCACACCAAGAAGAAAGUUAAACAAUUGACCAUUGGAUUUGCCUGCCUAAGUAAAGUCCUUAGCUAUGGAAGAACCUUGAAUAUCAAAAAAGGCUUAGACUAUGAAGGGAAACGGAAGGAAAAAAAAAUCUUCUCUGUUGAAGUUUGUUAAAGAAACUUGAUAUAAUAAACCAACAGGCCAGAACACUGAAGUUGCAGCUAAAGUAUCGAUAGAACCAUGUCUAAACAUCAGUAGGUUCUGAUUACCUCCAAACACUUGACUUAGAUUAUCUCAUCAGGUAAUGAGCUAAAGUAUUACUCUCAAAAAGGCUGAUCUUUUUUGCCAAUGCCACAACUUCGAUUUCUAGAAUAUUUCUUUUCUUUGAUAUCAUGUCUUUCAAGAAUUUUACUUAGUUGCAAAUCUGUCUAAUUGCAUCGAUGAAUAGUAUGUUGAUGUGGAGCUUUUUUGGCACAUCUAAGAACUUCUUAAAUUGAUCUUCGAGCUUUCUCAAAUGGUAUGUUGAUUUACAUCCUACAUCGCCUCAUUCACUGCAGAGCUACCCACAUGAAAAUCAUUUCUCCAUCAGAUAUCACUAUUUAUUUUAGCAAACCUUGAAGUCCCACAAGUUCAUCUCAACAAUCUACCUCGAAGAACUGGAUAUUUUGUCUCCUCGAUAUUGAGAGUUAGAUGCCUCAUUGUAGUGAUUUGGGUAUUGUUGAGAGGGUCAGUGAAGAAAGUUCUGGUGCUUGUUUGGUAGGGAUUUUGAUAAUUGAUUUUUUGACCGUUAGAAAUAAAGUGAGUCGUACCUGUGAGAGAAUAAUUCAAAAAUGAUGGUUGGAAUAGUGAAAUAACGGUCAAAAAAUUGAUUUUAAUUGACUUAAUAGCUGUACCAAACAAGCUCUUAGUUUAUUGGGGUUCAAGUACGUGUAGGGGUUGGGUAAUAUAUGGAUCUCGGGUAGGCUUAUUUGGUGUGAUACUUACUUUUGAAAGAAUUACCUUAAAUCUUGAUUUUUGAGAUGUAAAGUUAAAUAGCAAGCUAUAAGGCAAAUUUCCAAGCCUCUCAAAAACACUAUGAAAGUGAAACCGCUCAGCUAUCCCAGCAGUUCCAUUCUCAAGAAUAAAUCUUCGCAUUUGUUUGGCCCCGGUUAAAUUACAAUCUAUUUUUAUCUUGUUCUUAUCAACCACAUAUUUUUCAAUAAAAUAAUAUUGCUCGUAUAUUUAAAACUUUUUGCAUUUUUAAUCACAUAUUCUCCCAAAAAUUAUUAUUUCAAAAUCAAAUUCUCCUUAUAAUUGAGAGAAUAAUGGGGCCAAAUGGGUGCUUUCUCCAAAAUAAAUUCUCAUUAUAAUGAGACAAUAAGGAAGCCAAAGGGUGCUUUCAAUUUCAAGUUGUAUUACAUGGAAGAAAAACAUGUACGCAUGAAAUUUAAAUUUUUUGUUUUUUGAUGAAUUUCCCUGAAGUUAACUCGUUAUGUUCCAAGAAAAUUAUAAUAUAGAAGCUCUGAUUUUUUUUAUUAAUAAAGGUGUUUUGAUUUUUAGUGUCUUAUUUGUUGUCAAUUCUAUAAUUUUUAAUAAGCGGUGAAGAUUGAAGAAGAGCAAGUGAUGUUAAUGUUCUGUUCGUUUUGUUAGUAAUUAGUAGAAUAAGAACCCAUGAGCUUACAAAUUGUUAGUUAUGGGUUAGUUGCUACUGAUUUAUUUUUUUUUUGCUAUUUUGCUGCUAAGUUCGUUGGUUGUAAUGCCUAUAUAAUGGCAAUUUCAUUAUCAUUAACCUAGCAGUUUAUCUUCUUCAGCAAAAGCCUCGUUCUUGCAUUUGUUCUUUCACUAAUGUUCUUGCAUUUUUCUUUUUAUGUACUACUACCAAAAUUUGUUAUUUUUGUGUAACAUCUGGUAUCAAAGCCUCUAUUUUGCACUAGUCAGCAUGCAUCAGACAAUAAUUAUGUACAACCAGCAAUACCUCACUUUGAUAGUCACUAUGAUCAUUGGCGCAUGUUGAUGGAGAAUUUUUGCCAUCUAAAGAAUAUUGGACUAUAGUGGAAAUAGGAUUGACUGAACCAGCCCCUGGAGAGGUGUCGACUGAAGCUCAACAGAAGAAACUUGAAGAGCAAAAGUUGAAGGAUCUCAAGGAAAAGAAUUAUUUGUUUCAAGCUAUUGGUCAUUCCAUUUUGGAGAUGAUUCUACAAAAGGCACAACAAGGGUGAAAAGGCAGCAGUUUCAAGUCCUUCGCAAAGAACUCGAGAUUGUCUAUAUAAAGCAAGCAGAGUUUGUAGAUAAGUGUUUCUCGAGAACCCUGGAAAUAAUAAACAAGAUGUGUAUUCAUGAUGAAACAAUUGUAGAUACAACAGUGGUGGAGAAAAUUUUUCCAUCGAUGGCUCCAAAAUUCUCCUAUGUGGUAUGUUAUAUUGAUGAAUUAAAAGGCCUCGAUGAGCUUUCAAUUGAUGAAUUGCAAAGUUCAUUAUUAGCACAUGAGUAGAGAAUGGCAAUAGAUUUAACCGAGGAGCAACCUCUAAAGGCUUCAACAUAAGUUAAAGCCUCUAUAGGUAAAGGAUCAAAUAGAGGCCAUUAUCAAGGGUGUGGAUGAGGAAGAGUAAAAGGUAGAGGUUCUUACAUACCAGAUUCGCGAGGCAGAGGCAGAGGACAUGACCACUACCAGCAUUCAUUUAACAAUGAUUCAAAGUUUGAUAAGUCCAAUAUUGAGUGCUACCACUUAUGUUCCCCAGGUCAUAGCCAAUCCAUCUUGACAGCGGCCGCAAAACAGCGUGGGUAGUGCAAUUCAGCAGGACUGAAUUGCUUGUGGCAGGAGACAUAGGCAGCUUGCGGCAAGGGACGAAGCAGAUUUGAACAGUGGACACAAAUAGACUCAGUCUGGGGACGCAAGAAGUUUGUUUUGGUAGAUCAUAAGCUGGUGGACACAAACAGCUUUCCAACACAAAAAUGAGAUUUUUCUGAGUCUAAAC